CUGUAAGGUCAAGAAUAUAUUUUUUUAAAAAGGCUGAUUUCAGCCAUCACUGCUGAGCACUGGGUUUUGUUCACCUUCCUCUGUCCCCAAAGCUGCUGCUGGCAGCAGCUUGAAAACCAGGGUCAGAGUUCUCCCAGGAGAAGGGCUGGUGAUCCCAGAUUUCAGCGUGGUGCCGAGAGCUUAUGGCUCUGCUCACCCGAGGAGAUGUGAGGAGGACACCAGAGGACAACCACGAGAUGUUCCAGUUAUGCUUCUGGCAAAUUCACCCCGUUCCCAGAAAGCUGCUGCAUCCCUCCGGCACAGCCUGCAGCCGGGAUGUGCUCCCUGCAAACUAAAGCACCCAAAAUAACUCAGAAUAGGGAAAGGAAAAAAAAAAAGACAUUGAGUAGUCGGGUUUAUCUGUCUGGGCACAUGAAUAGCCGCCGUGUAAAAACCAGCUGAGCCCGCAACGCUUGGAAACAAAGGGACUGGGGGGGAGGCGUCUUUUUGUGCUUGGCUUUGCUCCCUUCAGAGCAUCCUUGGGCUGCGAGAGCCCGUCCUGUCGGCACCCGAAACAAAGGAAAGCCGGGAGCUGUAGGCAGGAGCCAGCUGGGGAAAACCGGGACGAGGAGGAGGAGGAGGAGGAGGAGGAACCCGCAUCGCCCUCCCCGGCAGCUGCGGAGCCGGGCUCGCGUGUUGCCGAACACGUUAUCCAUGGCAGGAAACUCGAGAUCAAAGGCGAGAAGCGUGCCAGAGCAAGAUGUCAUCCAAAGCCUCCUGCCAAAGGUGUGCACGGGAGGGGGGAAGCAGCCCCCGGACACACACGCUGGCACAUCCGACGGAGCCGGGGUGACCGAGACCCACGCGUGCUCUCCUCCCUGCACCCCGGCCGAAGACAAAGGCAGGCUGAACCGAGCAAACGAAAUAAACCAAAACCCCGAACCGCGGGAGGUGCAUUUCUACCCGUGGGCUUGCAGUCCCCAGGGUGCCACGCAGGUCCCCUGCCAAAGCAGGGAGGGCACGGCAGGAACGGCAGCCCAGUGUAACUCCAAAAAAGCAGCUUUUCCCAUUUCUGGGUGGCUAUUUUUUUUUCUUUUUCUUUUAAAGCAGAAGAAACCCGCACCGUCCUGUCUCAGCCCCAGGAAAGCAAAGGGACGUGUCUGAUUCCAAGCCAGCGGGAGCAGAGGCUGCGCGGAGAGACUGGACACAGCAGUCCCAGUGCUGUGACAGCAGGGACACUGGGAUGAGCAUCCCGGGCUCUGUGACAGCAGGGACACUGGGAUGAGCAUCCCGGUGCUGGGACAGGAUGGACACUGGGAUGAGCAUCCCGGUGCUGUGACAGGAUGGACACUGGGAUGCGCAUCCCGGGCUCCCGGCGCUGCCCUCGGCAUUCCCGGGCGCUGGGGCAGGAGCCGAUCCGCUGGAUGCUUUCACUGGGCGAAGCCUUACUGCCGCUGUGGGAAUCCCCGCUCGGCACGGGAAGGAUGCGCCUGGGCACGCCGGAGCUGCGAGUCCUGGUGUCGGGAAGAGCCUGCGGAGCCCCGCUGCCGGCAGCUGCCGGGACGGGACGGAUUUGGGAAGCAAAUGCUCUCGGAAAAUCGAGUUCUGCCGUUCCUCCCACGCGGGCCGGCCCUGGGCACCGCGGAGCUGCAGCUGCAGGGGAGGGAGUGCUGCGAGCCUGUCCUUGGCACCGAGUCAUGGAAUUGUUUGGGUGGGAAGGGACCUUAAAGCUCAUCUUGUUCCACCCCACUGCCAUGUCAGGGACACCUUCCACUAGAUCAAGUUGUUCCCAACCUGGCCUUGGACUCUUCCAGGGAUCCAGGGCAGCCACAGCUUCUCUGGGUAAUUUGUGCCAGGGCCUCCCCACCCUCACAGGGAAGAAUUUCUUCCUAAUAUCGAUCUAACCCUGCCCUCUGUCAUUGUGGAACCACUCCACUUUUUCCUGAUGAGAAAAGUUCUGGCUCUUGUCCCAGGUCCCUCUCCAGCUCUCCUGGAGCCCCUUUAGGCUCUGAGCUCUCCCUGGAGCCUUCUCUUGUCCAGGUGAGCACCCCCAACUCUCCCAGCCUGGCUCCAGAGGGGCUCCAGCCCUUGGAGCAGCUCUGUGGCCUCCUCUGGACUGGCUCCAGCAGUUCCAGGUCCUUCUGAUGUCGGGGAUCCCAGGGCUGGAGCAGCUCUGCAGGUGGGGUCUCACCUGAGCAGGGCAGAGGAGCAAAAUCCCACCCCUUCCCCUGCUGCCCACGCUGGGGGAUCGGACCAGGGCCUUCUGUGCUGCCAGCACUCACAGCCAGGGAUGCCAGCCUCUUUCCCUGGAUGAGAGAAAAUAAAAACCACCCAAAAUGGCCCCUCAGCCCUCCGGACAUGGGCAAGGCAGGGUGUCUGCUGUGACUCCAGUGCUGGCACAGGGCUCCUGGACAUUGCCUUGUGCCCAGGGUCUACUGCCAGUUACAGACAGCAGCUCCCGUGGUGCAGCACCCUCCCUGCCUCAGUUUCCCUUUGCUGCCUGCAUGGGCACACAGCCAAGGGAGUCCCCCUCAGUGGAAGGCGAAGGCUGGAUGGGCAGAGUCCUUCCUGCCUGAGUGUUGGCAGAGAGAGGAUGCGGGGUGAGAGCACCCAAAUUCAGCAAAUUGGGGGUGUGGGGAUGCAGCUGAUUCCCUCCCUGGCCAUGGAGGGAAGCACACUGCUCACUUUCUCUCUGCUCCACACGUGUUCUUGUUAACAACACCUUGUAUGUAUGAGAAAAUCCUGUUUUUCCUACUGGAUGAGUGAAGGCACUCGGGAUCCAGCCCGGCUGCAUGCCUGGACCUUACGGAGAUGGGGUGAUAAGGGAGGGUGGGUCUGUCCCAUGGGAAGGUGGAAGAUGUCUCCUUUCUCCUCUCAUUCCUCUCUGGCAGUGCUGGACUACGAAUGCCACAGCAGAUCUGUCGUCACUCCAAUUCAAAUGGGGUGGCAAGUGCAGGGAUGGCACUGAAGUGUCCCUGGAAAGCAGGUGGAGGCUGGAGUGGUGGCAGCAGCCCUGUCACUGCCUCCCGCAGCCUGUCAGGAUCUCCUGCUCCGCUGAAAGUUUCUUCUCUGAAAGGAUGGUCAAGCCCUGAGAGGUGCCCAGGGCAGUGGUGGAAUCCCACCCCUGGAAGGAUUUAAAAGCUGUAUGGAUGUGGCACUUGGGGACAGGGGUCAGUGGUGGGAUUGGCAGUGAUUGGGGGAACAGCUGUACUCGAUGAUCUUAGAGGGCUUUUCUGGCCUUAAUAAUUCCAUGAUUCUCUGAUCUACUCCCACACCUUUUCCUCUGUGGUGAAGAGGACCUCCAGCAUCACCAGCCUGGCCAAGCCCAUCACAGAGGUUGGGAGACCUGGUGGGCAGAGGAAGGGUUGGGUUCCUGCAGGUCAUCCCUUUCCUUGGUCCCAUAGCACUUCCUGGGUCCAGUGAGGGCAGUCCCUCACUGGAAAAAUAUCCACCUCACUUUUCUCUUUUCUCCCUCUUCUGUUUUUUCCCUUCUUCAUCCCUCCUGCCUGCUCACUCUCCCCAUUCCCUGCCUCCCCUUCUCCCCUCCUUUCCCUCGAGGUCUCUGGGGUGGCCGUGCCAGCUGAUCCAAGAUCCCUGUCCCCUCUCAGCCAAGGACACUUGCUGGUUAAUGGUUGGGCUGGAUGACCUUAGGGCGCUUUCCCGACCUUAAUGAUUUUAUGAUUCUAUAAAUAUCACAGAAUUUACGAUUCUAUAAAUAUCAGCGUGUGCCCAUCCCAUCUGUGCCCCUGACCUGUGGGGAGCCUCCCUCGCUGUGGUGGCAUUGCUCAGCAGGUACUGUCAGUUCUGUGCCCUGCUCAGGGUGCAGCCCUGCUUUCUCACCCCUUUUCUCCACCCCUUCCACGCUGCUUCUACCCCUGGCCAGCCCAAUGCAGAGCAGGGUGGAGCAGCACUGACUCUUCCUCUUCCUCUUCCUCAUAACAGCAAUUACCCGGGAGCUUUGAUUCAUUAACGACUUUGUGAGUCAAGCAAUGCUUUGGCAGGGCAUGCCCGGGGCUGACCCACCUCCCACCUCCCUCCUUGGCCUUUGCAUGCCCCGCUGAGCAGGUGGAGCAGGUGUUGCUCCUGGGUGGCAACCAAAACCCUGCUGCUCUUCCUCUUCCUCCUCAUCACGCUCCGAGGGGCUUGGCUGCAGCACAGGAUCCUGCCAACCCUAAUAGGAAAGGGGAAUUCAGGUAGUCACUGAUUGCAUCCAAGCUGGGAAGUAAAUUGGAGUGGAGCCUGCUUGCAGGUGCUUGGAGAUGAAAUAGCACAACCUGCAUCCAUGUGGGUCCAUCCCCUUCCUCCUGCUCCUGCCCCAAAAAUGGGCCAGGGGAAAAUGACCAACCUGGACAUCACCAGGCAAUGCUGAAAGUGUCAUUUAGGGACUCAGAGCCACAGGCUGGGACUAAUCCUGCUGGGAAUGUCCUGUCACCCUGAUUUUUAAAGAUUUUCUAAGCCUUCUGAUGUUUACAUUCUUGUAACAAACUUUCUCACACACUUUAUGUAAAUAACUUAUUGUUUUGCAUUCUUUUCUGGAGGAAGAGAAAUUUGAUGGACUGUUGGUUUGUCCAGAGUCAUUGGAGAGGUGGCACUUUCACCCUCCAAUCCACUGUCACUUUUGCAAAUCUGUAAAUGUUGGACUCAGAAAUUAAAAAGUCCUUUUUUACCUUGGAAA
Molecule: long non-coding RNA, 4654 nt
Organism: Passer domesticus (house sparrow)
Lineage: Eukaryota; Metazoa; Chordata; Aves; Passeriformes; Passeridae
Exons: 2
Source: RefSeq, a predicted model, not a curated record